RNAcentral lists this ribosomal RNA (509 nucleotides) under uncultured bacterium. RNAcentral describes it as "partial 16S ribosomal RNA". The stretch from base 20 to 326 matches the Rfam family "Bacterial small subunit ribosomal RNA", at positions 47 to 358 of the family's 1533-position model. The record is from RNAcentral.
GACGAACGCUGGCGGCGUGCUUAACACAUGCCAGUCGAACGGAAAGGCCCUGCUUUUGUGGGGUGCUCGAGUGGCGAACGGGUGAGUAACACGUGAGUAACCUGCCCUUGACUUUGGGAUAACUUCAGGAAACUGGGGCUAAUACCGGAUAGGAGCUCCUGCUGCAUGGUGGGGGUUGGAAAGUUUCGGCGGUUGGGGAUGGACUCGCGGCUUAUCAGCUUGUUGGUGGGGUAGUGGCUUACCAAGGCUUUGACGGGUAGCCGGCCUGAGAGGGUGACCGGCAACAGGGGGGCUGGGUGAGGGCGAAGGCAGGGGGGAGGGGAGGGGGGGGGGGAUAUGGAGCAGGGGGGGGGGGCGGGAGGCAGCAGGGGGGGGGGGGGGAGGAGGGCGGUGGGUGUGUAACCCGUGUUGGACGGGGAGGAGGCGGGGGGGAUGGAAGGGGGAAAAGGAGCACAGGCAAACGACGUGGCAGCGGCGGGGGGAAUAGGGGGAAGAGCAAAGGGAGAACC